GGACACGACUCUCGGCAAUGGAUAUCUUAGCUCUCACAUCGAUGAAGAAUGCAGUGAGAUGCGAUACAUGGUGCGAAUUGUAGAAUCUCGUGAACCAUUGAGUCUUUGAACACAAGUUGUGCCCGAGGUCAGUCGAUCGAGAACACAUUUGCCUGGGCGUCAAG
Molecule: ribosomal RNA, 164 nt
Filed under: Cymbidium haematodes
Lineage: Eukaryota; Viridiplantae; Streptophyta; Magnoliopsida; Asparagales; Orchidaceae
Description: 5.8S ribosomal RNA
Rfam family: 5.8S ribosomal RNA
About the family: 5.8S ribosomal RNA (5.8S rRNA) is a component of the large subunit of the eukaryotic ribosome. It is transcribed by RNA polymerase I as part of the 45S precursor that also contains 18S and 28S rRNA.
Source: RNAcentral